Ochotona curzoniae (black-lipped pika) is the source of this 2629-nucleotide long non-coding RNA. RefSeq lists it as uncharacterized. Lineage: Eukaryota; Metazoa; Chordata; Mammalia; Lagomorpha; Ochotonidae. The record is from RefSeq and is a predicted model, not a curated record. The transcript has 2 exons.
CGGCGGCGGCAGGCCGGCGAGGGAACGGCGACGGCCGCGCGGAGCCGCCGGCAUGAGCGAGCCCAGCCGCCCCGCGCGCCAGGCCGGGCCUUUCUGACCGGAGGUGUGAAGGCACUGCUUGGAGUUACAAUCAUGGUGCAAAAAUACCAGUCCCCGGUGAGGGUGUAUAAACACCCCUUUGAGUUAAUUAUGGCUGUAAGUACCCCACCUUUCCGGUUCCUCUUGGCUUCUUUUCUGAGCUUUGGAGUUGGAUCUGUGAGCCCAGCCUUGCUGUUAUUCUGUUUCCAUGCUUCGAAGCAUUACUUAGAAUGUAUCAGACAUUUUAAACAUGGAAGCCUCUGGAAGCUGAAAUCUGCUUGCUUGUUUUUGAAAACUGCCCCCUGUUUGUGUUGCUUGUCUCUUUAAGAUGCAGAAGUAGCAUUGAGCCACACUUCCUGUUGGUUUUGCUGUCUCCUUUUUCUGCUUGUUACUUUAGAAAAGGGGUGUGGAGGUGGGUUUCUUGGGGAGCUGUGUUUCCAUGAGCACCCUGCUGAUGGGUGUCCUGGGGUAGACGCCUCACUUUAGUCAGGGCUCUGUUGAGUAAGUUUUUCCUCCAGAGUAGAAUCCGCGAGUCACAUGGGAAGUCCACCAGUGGGGUGGCUGACUGUCCUUGUGCACGUCGCUUGGCUCAGUGUGGCCAGAAAUAGGUCUUUUACUAGCUGCAAACUGCAGGCCAUUGCUAGGUUCCUGUGGGGAAUUCGUACCUGCUCAGUGUGGCUGUGGAGGGACAGGCUCCACCAGGCAGCCUGCGGAAGUGUCACACACAAGAGGCACAGGCUGGUGGCGGCUGCCAUGGCCCUGGGGAGGCCCCCGGCCCUGCCCUCAGGCCCUUCACUCGCCCUGUCUGAACUGUUAGCCUGAGUCUCUUCCUGGUGUAGACAAGAGCUCAGGGCCUAUGGCGCCUGUCUGCCCUGCUGGGGGUGGGAAGGGUCUCCAUCAAAGGUGAUAAAAAAAAAAAGCCCAGAUAGGUGAUAGUGCCUUGUAAAUCAGAGGGUUUUUUGUUUUAUUUUGUUUGUUUUUAAGUCUGAUUUGUAUACAGCCAGUGGUGUGCAGUGUGGUCUGACGGAGCAGCCGGCUCUGUCAAGGGGUACAGGGUACAGAGGUUACAGGUUCCCUGCAGCAGGUGGGAGGUUGUGUGCUUAUGCAUGUGUGUGUGUGCGCAUGCAUGUGCAUGUAUGUUCCUUUAAGGUGUCCUGGGGCCCCCCAGCAUGUUUGGCCAGCGCUGCUGUGCUUCCUACUCCUGACUGGAGAGGCUGUUUCCGGUUGGCACGCUGUCUCUACUGCUUUUGGCUCUUGCUCCUCGUGUGGAACAAAGAGCACUCCAGCAGGCUUGAAAAGGAGUUUUGUAUGCGGGACGCAUGUGGCGUGAUAGGAAUCGCACACAGGAGAAAUUCUGGCCAGGCCGGGCUGGGUUCCAGGAGCCCGGCGAGGAGGCCGGUUCCUGGCACGCGGGGCGCAGCGCAGCUGUCCUUGGGGCCUGGCUCAGCAGUGAGGCUCUGCCUGGCUCCUGUCACCCCUCCCCCUUGGGGCGUUUGCUUGUUGCAUUCUUUCAGUUUCUAAGGGAGCAGUUCACAGUCUUGAGAGGGACACUGAUUCCUUGUGUCCCGGGCUGGGCGGGUGCGCAGCCGUGCUGCCUGACCCUGCCAACCGGGAAGGCCUGCCGAGUUGGGUGCCCGAGUUGAGUGUCGAGGGGAAGGCAGUGCCCUGGAAGUGGAGGGAACUGCCCUGCUGCCCGCCUCGCUGAUAGCCUUGAUUGUGUGAAGACAUGGCAGUGACAUGCAAGGAGAGCAAGGGCUGUUUUGGUGUGAAAGUUGAAAUAGUGAAAAUGUCGCGAAAAGCGCUGCCUGGGUCUCAGAAUUUUUGGUACCAAAUUAAACUUAUUUGUGAUUUUCUUUCCCAUGAACCUGUGCGGUGCUCACGUAUUCCAGACCCGUGAGUCCUGCCUUGUCUGCCUCGCUCGUGAACUGACAGAGAACUUGGAGUCAGCCACCGGGGCCGCCCACUGCCCUGCAUGGCCUUCAGACGGCCCUCUGAGGCAGUGUGGUGUUUUCUUUCCGCAGCUUCAGUUUCGAAAAUGGUCUUUACUUGGAAGGUGGGGCUAUGUUUUAUGUUUUCCCCAAACGUCGCCUUUGCAGAGCUGGAAUGUGGCUGCUGACUUCUGCGGCGGCGUUGCCUGCACUGUCAUUGUGUUGUGUGCCAACCUCAGAGUGGACUGCACCUUUUUCUGCUUGAGGGGGAGCACAGGGCCCUGGCAUCAGGCUGGAAGUGAGCCCUCGAGCUCAUCCUCUGUCAGUUCAAGCAGGAACCCUGACUCCAGGGAGACAUCUGUGCCACCCUGGGCAGGAACAUGUGUCUGUGGAAGGCGGAGCAGGCGACAGGAGGCAGCCCUGGCGGGUGUGGGUGGUGCUCAUGCCUGGAGCGGCUGUGUGGGUCCUGUGACUGAGAGAAAAACUGCUCACUCCCUCUAGUGCUCCUGCCUCUGUGUGUGUGUGUGUGUGUGUGUUCUCAAGAGAUUUGUUUGUUUGAAAGAGUUAACAGAGAGGGGGGAGACGGAGAACUGUCAUCUCCUUACUCCCCGGAUGUGGCCGCA